UUACACGGUUAUUAAUUCAAAAUGACACCAUCUAAUAAGCCGAAUGCGCUUGGUAGAUGAUAAGUAAAAACUUAACAAUGACUUUUGUUAUUUUGCACCUUACGCUCACUUCUAAUAUCGCAAAUUAAAUACCACUAUACUUGUUUUGCGCUCGAUCGCUCACAUGUUUCGGAAAUUCCGUCGAUCAAUUGCUCAAUGUAUUGUUACUAAACCCAAUGCGUUCUAUGUUCCUAGCAAAAGUGUGCUAUUUUUAUUUGCAAUUACAUUUUCUUCGGAUUGUUUUCGUCAAAUUAAGUUGUAUCAAAAUGUUGUUUAUGUGUAAAAAGAUAAUUGCGUCGAUAGAAAAUAACACAUUGUCAACAAAACAAUACGCUACGAAGGUGGAUUUCUUCUUUUUUGUACACAAGGGUAUAACUAUGUCGUUUUAAUAUAGAACAUUACGUCAAAGAUCUUCUUUCUGUUUAUUUCAAGUUCCACCAUGUUACUUGAGCGAUACUGCGCUUGCCGCGGGCAUUCUACCCUUGGAGCAAAGUACUGUGACACCGCCAAAUGCUCAGUACCUGGUGUACGCCCAUAAUCCGGGCGGAUUCGAUUUCAAAAGAAGUUCCGGAGCCGUGAACGCCGAGAACACGUGCGGCGACUCCGUGUCCACCGUCAGAGAGACGCUGAUUGUGAACAUCAUCAAUACGGCACCGUUGAUUACUAAUCCUUGGGGUUCCAGUGACGUCGACGAGGACGUCAGCGGAACGUUGACGUUAAAGACGUUGGAUUUUGUUACUUUCGAUAAGUCUGAUGCCACCUGCUCAAUGACGAGCGCUGACGGAGGACCAUUCGCCGUCACUGGAAGCCUCUUUAUUAAAAAUCCAGUUCAGGUGGACAGUGUCGUCCCUGAUAAGCCUGUGGGAACUGCAUAGGCUGAUCUGAGAUGACGCUUUAGCACGUGCAUUAAGUCCAGUUUUCGCAGAAUAAGACGUAUAUAGGCUCAGGCACAGACGUCUUUCAGGCAACCAAAUCGUAAAGACGGCUGGAGCUCUGGACUUUGAAACAAAGGCAACGUAUAAUCUUGACGUCACGUGCACGGACGACCUUCUUCAAACCACGGAUACUUACGUUGUCAAAGUCCAAAACGUCGGUCCAAAGAUAACGAGUUUGCCGACAGCGUCUACUCUGGUCGAGUGGCAGACUGCGGAAAAGCUACUCACGACGUUGACGUUAGCGGAGGACGCGGCUGACUGCGUUUAAACGUCACCGACGUAUAUCGAGAAUAAUAGUAUGGGUGAUCUACUACGUCAGCGAGGCGGUUGCGGGGCGGUCGCUUAGCUACGACACGAACCCCUUUUACAACCUGCACAUUCAGUACAGCGACGCCGCGGGGGUCAAAGGGGCGGAGAAGAUUUUCACCGUCCAUAUUAACGAUAACAAAGCACCGACGAGCGACAACCUUAGCAGUAAGCCGAACAACAUAUGCUUGAUUAAGGACGCCUUGCGAGAAUUCUUCAGCGUUAUUUAGAUACUUUAAAAAUAAGUUCUAGUAUUACUUAUAUAGUAUUGUAUCAACUUUGAUCCAUCUUUGUAUUGCGCAUUAUGUCUUUUUGUUUGCCAAAACGACGUUACUUUACUGUAUUACGUUGACGUCACUUCUUGUGUUUAUGCUUCGAAUCAUACUACUGAUGACAGCUAUGGCCGAAACAUGAUUUAUGUUUAA
Long non-coding RNA from Dreissena polymorpha, 1705 nucleotides. RefSeq lists it as uncharacterized. The record is from RefSeq and is a predicted model, not a curated record. The transcript has 6 exons. Lineage: Eukaryota; Metazoa; Mollusca; Bivalvia; Myida; Dreissenidae.